This 66-nucleotide transfer RNA is filed under the name Hydroporus discretus. RNAcentral describes it as "tRNA-Ala". It matches the Rfam family "tRNA". Rfam says of the family: Transfer RNA (tRNA) molecules are approximately 80 nucleotides in length. Their secondary structure includes four short double-helical elements and three loops (D, anti-codon, and T loops). The record is from RNAcentral. Lineage: Eukaryota; Metazoa; Arthropoda; Insecta; Coleoptera; Dytiscidae.
AGGAAUAUAGUUAAAUAUAACAUUUAGUUUGCAUCUAAAAAGUAUUGAUUUAUUCAAUUUUUCUUA